GUCUUCUAUAAUCCUCUUGGAAGGUGGUCAACAAAACUCUGGCCAUUUAGCAGUUUCCCAUAAUGCUCUUAGGAUGCUGAUCAAACCCUGCCCAAGGCCUACAAGGCUCACUGUCAGUCCGGGCUCACGGGUACGACUACCAGUCAUCCUGGCCAUUUCUGAGCCCCACAAAACAGCCUUGCUCCUUGGGGACUUGGUGCCUGUGUCCAUGCAUGUCCUCUGAUGACCCAAUUAGGAGGUGGGUCAGCUGGGUAGAUGCUUGGGGUUCGAGUCCACAAAAGGCACCAACCGCCCCCCACCCCAUCUCCCACCAAGAAAGGAGAUGAAGAAAACUCUCCUUUCUGGAGCUAUUUGGGGCAGGGGAAGAAGGUGGGACCCCCAAGGGGCAUGCUGGAGCCAGGAUGCAGGCCAUAAGACUGCCUUCUCUGGAGGACGCUGGUGAGCUGAGGCAGGUGGGUAGGUUUAAAGCCAAGGAUAAGAAGCUAGGAGGAGCAGAAGGUGAGGGUGUGGGGGUUCUGGAGCACAUCUACAAGUUUUCUGUCACAUCUCCCAUCAAGAGGGAGUUCUAGCUCCCCCGAUCAGGCUUCAGGACUACCUUAGUGAAUAGAAUGGGACAGAAAUGAUGCUGUGUGACCUCUAAGACCAGGUCAGGAAAGUCCAUGAGAUUCUAUCUGGCUUGCUCUCUCUUGGACCAUUUGCUUUAGAGGCCCGAAGCGACCAUGUGAGAGGCCACCCGGAGACAGGGACACCCAGGCAGCCACUGAGGCUUCCCAGCCCAGGCAUCAGACAUGUGAGUCAGGGAAUAUCUGGAUGAUUCUAGACCACCCACUGCCUGCAUAACUGUGAGAGACCCGCGUGAGAAACACAAGCUGGCCCUGUCCACCUCCAGACCAUGAGGAUAACAGUGAAAUGAUGGCUGUUUUAAGUCACCAAAUUUGGGGAUGAUUUCUUACGCAGCAGUAGUGAUGAGGCCAGAGACUUUGUCUUGCUCCCUACUCUUCUGUCCUCAGUACCAAAAACAGUACCUGGCCCAGGUAAUCAAUCGAUGUCUGCUGGAUGGCUGAAUGAAUGGACAGAUGAAUGUGCAGAGGAGAGGCUCACUACAGUCACCGGCAAUCCAUCCUUUCUGCCUUCCCCCAGCCAGCAGGCUGCUAUCUCUCCUCUGCCUCUCCACCUUUCCACACAGCUAACUCACCAUCAGCCUUCGGACCCCAGCUCAAAGAUCAUUUUCUCAGGGAAGCUGCCCUUGAACUCCCCUGUCUAGAUCAGGGUCCUGUCUGACACUCUCAAGUCAUUCUGUAUCUCUCCUUCAGGACACUCUCCGGGACUAUUAGUACAUAAUCAAACAACUACACUGAAAAGCUAGCUGGCUGUCUCCUGUGACUCACUACAAACCAUCGUACAGCAGCGAUAGGGUCUGUCUGUUCACAAGCGUGCCUCUGGUGGACAAAGCCUAGCACAGACCUGGCUGACUGUGUGUCAGAACAUUUCUGGAGACUGGUAACAUAUACAGCUCAGCUGUUUUGACUCACAAUACUUCUGACACCAAACGUUGUUUUUUUUUUUUUUUCCCCCUACACCAACCAAUUCUCCAACUCUGUGGACACCAGCUGGGUGUCCUACAAUUCAAUUCUGACACCGACUACCCCAAAUUAAUGUCGGACUCCACAGGUUGAAGGACUCAGUUCCAAAGACUGCCCCCACUUCAGAUGCCAGUUACAAGCACCGGGUCCCCAAAUUACCCACUUUUGUCUAAUCUAGUUACAAAGUCAGAGGUGGGGCCUCCCACAGCCCCUCCCCCUUUCAGGUUCAAUAAUUUGCUACAACAGCUCACAAAACUGGAGAACAUUUUACUUGCUGUCACCAUAGAUUUAUUAUAUAAAGGAUACAACUCAGGAACAGCCAAAUGGAAGGAAUGCACAGGGCAAGGUGUGGGGCCAGGGCACAGGGCUUCCAUGCUCUCUCCAGGCAUGCUGCCCUCCUAGCACGCGGAUGUGCUGCCAACCCGGAAGCUCUCUAAAUCUCCGCUGUUGAGAGGUUUUUAUAGAGGUCUCCUUUCAUCUAUGACGGACUAAAUCAUAGGCCAUUGGUGGGGCUUAAAGUCCAAACCUCUAAUGGUGCUUUGGCCUUCCAGGCAACCAGCUCCCAUCCAGAAGCUUAUCUAACCCCCUCUCCUGACCCCCAGACCAGCAGUCAUUAGCACCUAAAAGAUACUCUUAGCACUCUGGAGAUUCCGUGUUCCAGGAGCUGCGUGCUCUGAACUGGGGGGCAAAGACCAAAUAUUUAUUUUUUAUACCAUCCUACUAUUAGACAGUGCUCAUUUUUAUUGUUCUCAAUAAUACUGAGCUACAAUUGGCCUCUAACUACUAGCCUACCCUCCAUCAGGCUGUCCAAAGCCACUCACACCCUGGUCAUUCACACCACACAGACCCCCGGGAACAGGUCUGAGUGUCUUCUUCAGGUUUACACACAGCUGUCGGGGGAAGAGCCGGAAUCUGAAGCCAACUCUUCAGACUUGACAGUUCAACACGAUGUCCCUCACACCACCCUGCCUCCCGGAUGUCUCCGCCGAUGUGAGAUGCUCUGGGAGCAUCAUAAUCUCCUUAUCCAAAACAACAACAACAACAACAACAACAACAACAAAGCUGUGCACUUUUAAUGGAGCACACGAAACAGGCGCUGGAGAUUAAGGACUUAAAUAAACUAAGAUAAAGAACAUUCCAGGUCAUCUGCACCGUUCAGUGAAAUAGCACCCCUGAACAAGUGAGCUUUUGAAGACCAUGCAAUGACCCAGAAAAUGUGAACAUUUUAAUGUGACUUAAUGUGAAAAACUAAAAAAGGAUACAGAGCCAUGCCCUGCACGACCCAUUUUUUUUUUUUAAUGUGUGUAUGUAUAUGCUUGGAAAAGCUGGAUGGAAAGAAAUACAAAUUUAAAAAUGACAUCGUAUGUCUCACCCUUCAGAUUGGCAAAAAAAUAAAAAGAUCAUCCGUC
Long non-coding RNA from Felis catus (domestic cat), 2992 nucleotides. RefSeq lists it as uncharacterized. Lineage: Eukaryota; Metazoa; Chordata; Mammalia; Carnivora; Felidae. The transcript has 2 exons. The record is from RefSeq and is a predicted model, not a curated record.